UUCCGGUUGAUCCUGCCGGACCCGACUGCUAUUUGGGUGAGGAUAAACCAUGCGAGUUGUAUGGGAUACCUAAAUUUCCCAUAGCAAACUGCUUAGUAACACAUGAUCAACUUACCCUAUGGAGAAAUAUAACCUCGGGAAACUGAGGAUAAUGCUUCAUAGUUGAAUAGGCUUGGAAAAGUUUUUCAAUGAAAGGGAUAAGAAAAAUGGUUCUUAUCUGCCAUAGGAUAGGAUCGUGCUCGAUUAUGGUUGUUGGUGAGGUAACGGCUCACCAAGCCGAUAAUCGAUAGGGGCCGUGAGAGCGGGAGCCCCAAGAUGGGUACUGAGACAGCGACCCAGGCCUUACGAGGCGCAGCAGGUACGAAACCUCCGCAAUACACGAAAGUGUGACGGGGUUACCCAAAGUGUUCAUUAUAGAACUGUGGCAGGUGAGUAAUGUCCCCUGCUAGAAAGGAGAGGGCAAGGCUGGUGCCAGCCGCCGCGGUAAAACCAGCUCUUCAAGUGGUCGGGAUAAUUAUUGGGCUUAAAGUGUCCGUAGCCGGUUUAGUAAGUUCCUGGUAAAAUCAGGUAGCUUAACUAUCUGCAUGCUAGGAAUACUGCUAUACUAGAGGGCGGGAGAGGUCUGAGGUACUACAGGGGUAGGGGUGAAAUCUUAUAAUCCUUGUAGGACCACCAGUGGCGAAGGCGUCAGACUGGAACGCGCCUGACGGUGAGGGACGAAAGCCAGGGGAGCGAACCGGAUUAGAUACCCGGGUAGUCCUGGCCGUAAACGAUGCAUACUAGGUGAUGAUACGGCCAUGAGCCGUGUCAGUGCCGUAGGGAAACCGUUAAGUGUGCCGCCUGGGAAGUACGGUCGCAAGGCUAAAACUUAAAGGAAUUGGCGGGGGAGCACCACAAGGGGUGAAGCCUGCGGUUCAAUUGGAUUCAACGCCGGA
This 935-nucleotide ribosomal RNA is filed under the name uncultured archaeon. RNAcentral's name for it is "bacterial SSU rRNA". It matches the Rfam family "Archaeal small subunit ribosomal RNA", at positions 1 to 922 of the family's 1478-position model. The record is from RNAcentral.